AGUUUGAUCAUGGCUCAGAACGAGCGUUGGCGGUGUGCCUAAUACAUGCAAGUCGAGCGAGAAAACCGGGGCAACUCGGUGAGUACAGCGGCGGAAGGGUGCGUAAUACAUGGAUAACGUACCCCCCAGUCGGGGAUAACCCUCCGAAAGGUGGGCUAAUACCGAGCAUAAUGGCAGCGGGUGGCAUCACUUGCUGCUUAAAGACGCAAGUCGCUGGGGGAGCGGUCCAUGGCCUAUCAGCUAGUUGGCGGGGUAACGGCCCACCAAGGCAAUGACGGGUAGCCGGACUGAGAGGUUGAACGGCCACACGGGAACUGAGACACGGUCCCGACAUCUACGGAUGGCAGCAGUAGGGAAUCUUGCGCAAUGGGCGAAAGCCUGACGCAGCGACACCGCGUGGGGGAUGAAGGCCUUCGGGUUGUAAACCCCUUUCAUGAGGGAAGAACACUGACCUAACCUCAGGAAGAAGCACCGGCUAACUCCGUGCCAGCAGCUGCGGUAAUACGGAGAGUGCAAACGUUGUUCGGAUUUACUGGGCGUAAAGGGCACGUAGGCGGCUCGGCAAAUCGGUCGUGGAAUCUCGACGCUUACCGUCGAAACGGCGGCCGAAAAUACCGGGCUCGAGGGCGUGAGGGGUCACUGGAACUCCUGGUGAAGCGGUGAAAUGCGUAGAUAUCAGG
Molecule: ribosomal RNA, 680 nt
Filed under: uncultured bacterium
Lineage: Bacteria
Description: bacterial SSU rRNA
Rfam family: Bacterial small subunit ribosomal RNA
Source: RNAcentral